RNAcentral lists this ribosomal RNA (252 nucleotides) under uncultured bacterium. Its description in RNAcentral is "partial 16S ribosomal RNA". It matches the Rfam family "Bacterial small subunit ribosomal RNA", at positions 524 to 776 of the family's 1533-position model. The record is from RNAcentral.
UACGUAGGUCCCGAGCGUUGUCCGAAUUUAUUGGGCGUAAAGCGAGCGCAGGUGGUUUAUUAAGUCUGGUGUAAAAGGCAGUGGCUCAACCAUUGUAUGCAUUGGAAACUGGUAAACUUGAGUGCAGGAGAGGAGAGUGGAAUUCCAUGUGUAGCGGUGAAAUGCGUAGAUAUAUGGAGGAACACCGGUGGCGAAAGCGGCUCUCUGGCCUGUAACUGACACUGAGGCUCGAAAGCGUGGGGAGCAAACAGG